GACGAACGCUGGCGGCGUGCCUAAUACAUGCAAGUCGAACGAACUCUGGUAUUGAUUGGUGCUUGCAUCAUGAUUUACAUUUGAGUGAGUGGCGAACUGGUGAGUAACACGUGGGAAACCUGCCCAGAAGCGGGGGAUAACACCUGGAAACAGAUGCUAAUACCGCAUAACAACUUGGACCGCAUGGUCCGAGCUUGAAAGAUGGCUUCGGCUAUCACUUUUGGAUGGUCCCGCGGCGUAUUAGCUAGAUGGUGGGGUAACGGCUCACCAUGGCAAUGACACGUAGCCGACCUGAGAGGGUAAUCGGCCACAUUGGGACUGAGACACGGCCCAAACUCCUACGGGAGGCAGCAGUAGGGAAUCUUCCACAAUGGACGAAAGUCUGAUGGAGCAACGCCGCGUGAGUGAAGAAGGGUUUCGGCUCGUAAAACUCUGUUGUUAAAGAAGAACAUAUCUGAGAGUAACUGUUCAGGUAUUGACGGUAUUUAACCAGAAAGCCACGGCUAACUACGUGCCAGCAGCCGCGGUAAUACGUAGGUGGCAAGCGUUGUCCGGAUUUAUUGGGCGUAAAGCGAGCGCAGGCGGUUUUUUAAGUCUGAUGUGAAAGCCUUCGGCUCAACCGAAGAAGUGCAUCGGAAACUGGGAAACUUGAGUGCAGAAGAGGACAGUGGAACUCCAUGUGUAGCGGUGAAAUGCGUAGAUAUAUGGAAGAACACCAGUGGCGAAGGCGGCUGUCUGGUCUGUAACUGACGCUGAGGCUCGAAAGUAUGGGUAGCAAACAGGAUUAGAUACCCUGGUAGUCCAUACCGUAAACGAUGAAUGCUAAGUGUUGGAGGGUUUCCGCCCUUCAGUGCUGCAGCUAACGCAUUAAGCAUUCCGCCUGGGGAGUACGGCCGCAAGGCUGAAACUCAAAGGAAUUGACGGGGGCCCGCACAAGCGGUGGAGCAUGUGGUUUAAUUCGAAGCUACGCGAAGAACCUUACCAGGUCUUGACAUACUAUGCAAAUCUAAGAGAUUAGACGUUCCCUUCGGGGACAUGGAUACAGGUGGUGCAUGGUUGUCGUCAGCUCGUGUCGUGAGAUGUUGGGUUAAGUCCCGCAACGAGCGCAACCCUUAUUAUCAGUUGCCAGCAUUAAGUUGGGCACUCUGGUGAGACUGCCGGUGACAAACCGGAGGAAGGUGGGGAUGACGUCAAAUCAUCAUGCCCCUUAUGACCUGGGCUACACACGUGCUACAAUGGAUGGUACAACGAGUUGCGAACUCGCGAGAGUAAGCUAAUCUCUUAAAGCCAUUCUCAGUUCGGAUUGUAGGCUGCAACUCGCCUACAUGAAGUCGGAAUCGCUAGUAAUCGCGGAUCAGCAUGCCGCGGUGAAUACGUUCCCGGGCCUUGUACACACCGCCCGUCACACCAUGAGAGUUUGUAACACCCAAAGUCGGUGGGGUAACCUUUUAGGAACCAGCCGCCUAAGGUGGGACAGAUGAUUAGGGUG
This 1489-nucleotide ribosomal RNA is filed under the name Lactiplantibacillus argentoratensis. RNAcentral's name for it is "bacterial SSU rRNA". It matches the Rfam family "Bacterial small subunit ribosomal RNA". Lineage: Bacteria; Bacillati; Bacillota; Bacilli; Lactobacillales; Lactobacillaceae. The record is from RNAcentral.